CCUACGGGAGACAGCAGUGGGGAAUAUUGCACAAUGGGGGAAACCCUGAUGCAGCGACGCCGCGUGAGUGAAGAAGUAAUUCGUUAUGUAAAGCUCUAUCAGCAGGGAAGAAAAUGACGGUAGCUGAUUAAGAAGCCACGGCUAACUACGUGCCAGCAGCCGCGGGAAUACGGAGGGGGCAAGCGUUAACCGGAUUUACUGGGUGUAAAGGGAGCGUAGACGGCAGUGCAAGUCUGGGGUGAAAGGCGGGGGCUCAACCCCCGGACUGCUCUGGAAACUGGAUGGCUGGAGUGCAGGAGAGGUAAGUGGAAUUCCUAGUGUAGCGGUGAAAUGCGUAGAUAUUAGGAGGAACAUCAGUGGCGAAGGCGACUUACUGGACUGUAACUGACGUUGAGGCUCGAAAGCGUGGGGAGCAAACAGGAUUAGAUACCCCAGUAGUC
This 440-nucleotide ribosomal RNA is filed under the name uncultured bacterium. RNAcentral's name for it is "partial 16S ribosomal RNA". It matches the Rfam family "Bacterial small subunit ribosomal RNA", at positions 338 to 795 of the family's 1533-position model. The record is from RNAcentral.